ACCCGGUAUAACGUCAGACACACGUGAUACGUUCUGUCAGGAACGAACUUGCUGUAAUUCAUAUUUCUUUGAUAUUUUCAUUAAUAACGGUAUUAAUGUAGAAAUAUUACUACACUUUUGCAAUGAAUACCGAGACAGAAAUAUUUAUAACGUGCAAAUAAAUUGCUCCAGGGUGUCAAUUAGUAGUGCAUAGUGGGUAGGUGCUUACCUACAGUCUCGUGUUAUUAGCGUUGUUACAAACAAACUAUACUGGCUUAUCGACCUUAGGAAUAUUUUCUUUCAUUGCACUGGUAAUCAUGGAUGUUGACACUUUUUGCCGUCAAUGGCGUACGAUAGACGCAUCUGUGUCGAUGUGUCAGAGAAAUUUUGUACUAUAUUGGAUUUUGUAUGACGUUACCGUCAACCAGUGAAAUGUAAUUAUAGGAGUGGCAUUUACGAAUUAAUUGUAAUAGAUAGUAGUGUCGUAGAGAAACAGAGCAUUCUAAUUACGGAUGUUUAAAAUUAGAAUGCUCAAUGGCUGUGAAUAUGGAAGUAGACAAGAGCACGUCCAAAGAGGUUGACACACAACUUUCGGCAAGCAAUUCGAUGGAAUUUAAGGAUGGUGUUCGACGCGAGAACAACGAAAACGUACGAGAUCUCCGGCAUUCUUAUUCGCCACUCGAUGAUAAAACGAUUGACAGCCGCAAAUACGAUCGUACCAUUGUAUACGCACAACUCGACGAUGCCGAGGUUUUCGUGAACGAAUUACCUGACAAUCGAGUCUUAGGAAAUAAAGAAGAGGGGAACAGUAUAAGGAACAAGGAGAAAGGAAUAACCGAAGACAUGAAGGUUUUGCAGAAUGACAGCAAAGAUCAGCAGGCAGAAGUAACGUCAGAAAAUUCAACCGAUGGCUAUGCACAUCAAGCUCCGUUAGCUUUUACAAUUGAUUUUGGCAACAAGGAAGUCGACACAACCAAGUAUCAAAAUUUAUUUGAGAGGUACAACGCCAGGCACAAGAGAAACCUUUCUACAUCUAAGGUAGAAAUUAACUCAAGAAAAAGUGCCACAUCAUUUUCGUCAAAUUCAGCACAAAAACAAAAGGUUUCCAGUACACAUUCUGAAGGAUAUUUCAGUAGUGAAGAUGACACAAAAAGAAAAACAGAUCAAUUGUCAGAGAAAUUAAAGCAAUUAGGUUCAAAAUCAUUUUCAAAAUCGUCUAAUGCUACAAAAAAAUCCGAGUCUAACGUGAAAGUAACGAAUUUUCAAAAUAAACAAGACCUAAUGACUAGAUCAUUCGAACAAUCAAAACAAAAUAAAUUUCCUCAUAAAAAUCUUUCUCUAGAGCUUACUUAUUCAGAAAAAAAGCGUACACCAUAUUGGGGCCCUCAAAAAUCUGCUACUAUAAACGACUUAAGCCGAAUUCAGUCUAACAACUAUGAUGAUACUGUUAGUGAGAAACUUUAUACAAAAAAUAUAGAUCACGAAGAUGAUUACGAGCAUUUGUCCGACAAUGAAAAAGUGUCAAACAUCAGCUAUGCCAGAAAGAAAAGUAUUAUCGCGAAAGAACACAAUUUAUCUAGUGUUAAAUAUACAGUAGAAGUAAAUCCAGAUGAAACAACCGAGACCAACAUAGACACUUUUAAUGUCAGCAAUACCGGUGCAGGCUCCGAUGAUGAAAUCAGUGAAGCUGGGACAUAUACAAUACACAAAGACUACACUGACGAAGAAAAAGCAAGAAUGGAUAUUGAUAAAGUGUUUAAUGUUGGUGUUUUCACUGAAGAUGAAUCCAAUGAAGCAUGUAUUCAUAGCUUUAAGAUGAGUGCUUCCAGGGACAACAACACAUGGAUAUCGGAAUGGGCGAGUCAAGUAGCAGAACAUAAUUCUCUUCCACCAGCAAUUGGUGGACUAACCGGCCGCACCCCACCACUAAGUCCUUCCAAAAUACCGUCUCCAAUUCAUACUAGAUCUCAAAGACUGGCUCGUAGUCGCACUGAACAAAACGACAGCAACUUAGAUGUAGAAUCGUAUUUGCGAAUGAAGGAAAGAAUUGGAUUAAUGUCGAACCAACAUAUACUUAUUGAUUCUGGUGGAGAAUCAGAUGAUGACACCAGCAACAGUUACAAUACUCCUCCACACAGUUCACAACGAACUCCGGUACACGGUUCGUUGGCAAGACGCGGAAGCUUAUCUGAAUCUCUCUUUAGAAGAAUUAAUACCAGCGAAAAUAGGAGAAGCCUUCGCAAAUAUUUAAGUUCAAACAAAUCUAAGACUGAGGAUGUUAACGCAGAAUUAAGUAGUCCGUCCAAAGAUUUUGCUUCCCUUCAUCUAGGAAGGCGAAGUAGUUCCUUGGACAGGAGAGAAUACACAUCCGAUACAACCGAAUCCAAUACGUCCAGGAGAAGCAGCAUGAAGUACUACCAAGACGAUGACAUUAAAUACACAACUAGCCCCGUCUUAAGCCGUCUAAGACCAUCUACACCAAAAUUAACUAAUAGUCCUAUCGUAACUCGCAAGGCAGUUACGAAAAUUGUUAAUUCACCUGUGCUGGAAAGAACUAAGCACUUAACGAAAUCUUCCCCACAAGCAAAAAAUAUUGGAUAUUUUACUUGUGUCGAAAACAGUCCGUACAUGUUAAGAAAGUCGAAUAGUACAGCAAGUUACCACGAAGCAAACAUUGGCUUUAAUAACAAAGACUUACUACCAAAAGCAAACAGUGUUCUUCAGAAUAGUCCAAACCUUCAACGUAAUCUAAGUAUCCAAAGAUCGUGUAGCAACGCAAAUAUUAGAAAUAUAAAGUCACAGAGUCAGUCCUCGCGGCGCAGUAGCUUUAACAGUAGUGACAUCGAUAGAACAUCUUCAGGCGGAAGGUGUGUUGCUGCUUCCGACAGUAGCAGUGAAACUGGUGAACAACAAGUGAAAUCUUCGUUAGCUCCGGCAACUACAGGAAUCAAAUUGAAUCGAGCUUUCAGUAUAAGGAGAGCAAGAUUAAAUUGUGAGUCCGAUACAACUCCUAAUACCACUCCAGAAGAGCGACGCAGAAGAGCGCAAAGCGAAGUGAAAGCAGUAGCCCCGGCGAAGAAAGAGCAAAAUUACCAUCGAAGUCGAGCAACUAACGUGAACACUCAUAGUAAGGAACCUGUAAAAAAAUCGGAACCUGCGAAACCUAGAGCUGUAUCACUGUCAAGGACUGAUAGUACUAGACUUAGUAUAAGAGUACCGAAAUCAGCUCAUCAUACUACCACUACACAGCGACCUAAUCAGAGAGUAAAUAAAGAUCAAAAGUCUGGUAGAAGUAAUUCAACUUUGACAUCGAAGGAAGUUGAAUUUCAGAAUUGGAAGAGGAGGAAAAGUUAUGAUCCAAUGAAAGCAGCUGCUGAAGGUAGAAAGAAAUUAAUGGAUAAUACGAAGAAACACCACAGUACAGAAGAUAGUACAGGAAAUCACGAUAGCUCUGUGUUACGAUCGGCGAGUUUCCAUGGGACCGGUGGUGCUCUUUCAUUAGCCAAUGAAUGGUCCGACAACGAAUUAAAUUUUGCUCAGAAUGACAAUCAAGUACCUCCGCCGUGUAGUCCACAGUUGGAAAGCGAUAGUGAUCUAGAAACAUCAUAUUAUUUGCAAACAACUCAAAAUGUUGUCACAGCUAUGACAGCUCGUAUUACAGUCUGUCGUUCACCUUUAAUGGAUUCGGAUAACGAAAGCGACGAAGACACUAGUCAUAGUUUGCAUAAAAAUAUAUCAAAAACAUUACAUCAGCCUAGCGAUACAGAAAGUAGUGACGACCGUCAGCAGUUCUCGCAAAAUGUUAUUUCAAACACUAAAUAUAAUAGAGCAUUUAGUUUACGCAGGGCAAGAUUAGAAUCCCAACCAACAAAAUUACCAACAAAUACAAACAAUAAAAAGACGGUAACGCAUGAUACUAGAGGGAAAUCUGAAACUAUUACAAGUAUUAGUAGGACUGAUUCUGGUCGCUUUAGUAUGCGAUCAAAUAGAACUUCAAAUACGGGUCUUAAAGCAAAACCAAAGGAAACUAAGAAACCUGUAACGCCAAAUGCAAGAGAAGUUGAGAUGCAAAAUUGGAAACGUCGUAAGAGCUAUGAUCCUAUGAAAGCAGCCAUGGAAGGGAGAAAAAAGGCAGGAUUAGCAAAAAAGAGUGUGAAUGCAAAUCUCUCGCCGAGGACUGAUAGCGAUCGAUAAUCUAAUGAUAGAGACCGUCGGUACAAGCAAGUGGUACGGAAAAGACUUGUUUGAUUUUGUGAUGUAGAUUUUUUUAAGAGUCACGUUGCAAGAUCACGCAGUUUCCAUGGCUCAUCAGGAUUCGGAGUUAGUGAUUGGAGUGAUGAAGAGUUGGCUAUAUCUGCAGAUGAAACUACUGUUUAUUGAAAGUCACAGCAUUAAUCGUAUGAUGUGAAUCGAUUCAGUUAAAAUGAAAUUCAGCUGUAGUAGUCGAUGUAUAUAAAAAAAAGUAAGAAAUUCCGUUCUUACAGAAUUACUCUAUAAAUAGUUCUACACAUUUGAAAUUAUAUUAAAUGGUGAAGAAUGUUGAAAGAUCUUUUCUAUAUUAAAAGAUUCUAUUUUUUGCAACUUUUAACAUUAAGAAACUAUAGAUCUAUAUGGCUAUCAGUACUGUUCUAAGUUGAAGUACCAAUAUUUAGCAAAAUUAAUGCGUAACUUUAUAAUAUUAUUGAUAAUUCGACACUCUUAUUUUUCAGUUUCGCUUCUAUCAGAGUUU
This is an RNA transcript of Nomia melanderi (Alkali bee), 4708 nucleotides long. RefSeq lists it as uncharacterized. NCBI's taxonomy places the organism in Eukaryota, Metazoa, Arthropoda, Insecta, Hymenoptera, Halictidae. The record is from RefSeq and is a predicted model, not a curated record.